Molecule: transfer RNA, 76 nt
Filed under: Candidatus Anoxychlamydiales bacterium
Lineage: Bacteria; Pseudomonadati; Chlamydiota; Chlamydiia; Candidatus Anoxychlamydiales
Description: tRNA-Arg
Rfam family: tRNA
About the family: Transfer RNA (tRNA) molecules are approximately 80 nucleotides in length. Their secondary structure includes four short double-helical elements and three loops (D, anti-codon, and T loops). Further hydrogen bonds mediate the characteristic L-shaped molecular structure. tRNAs have two regions of fundamental functional importance: the anti-codon, which is responsible for specific mRNA codon recognition, and the 3' end, to which the tRNAs corresponding amino acid is attached (by aminoacyl-tRNA synthetases). tRNAs cope with the degeneracy of the genetic code in two manners: having more than one tRNA (with a specific anti-codon) for a particular amino acid; and 'wobble' base-pairing, i.e. permitting non-standard base-pairing at the 3rd anti-codon position.
Source: RNAcentral
UGGAUUGAUAGCUCAAUUGGAUAGAGCACCCGCCUUCUAAGCGGGUGGUUACAGGUUCGAGUCCUGUUCAGUCCGA